GAUGAACGCUGGCGGCGUGCCUAAUACAUGCAAGUCGAGCGAACAGACGAGGAGCUUUCUCCUCUAACGUUAGCGGCGGACGGGUGAGUAACACGUGGAUAACCUACCUCUAAGACUGGGAUAACUUCGUGAAACCGGAGCUAAUACCGGAUCAUAUAUUGAACCGCAUGGUUCAAUAGUGAAAGACGGUUUUGCUGUCACUUAUAGCUGGAUCCGCGCCGCAUUAGCUAGUUGGUAAGGAAACGGCUUGCCAAGGCAACGAUGCGUAGCCGACCUGAGAGGGUGACCGGCCACAUUGGACCGGGGCAAGGGUCAAGAUCCUUAGGGAAGGAAGCGGUAGGGAAUCUGCCGCAAUGGGGGAAGGCUGGACGGAGCAAAGCGGGUUGGGUGAUGAAGGUCUUCGGAUCGUAAGACUCUGUGAUUAGAGAAGAACGAAUGUGUAAGUAACCAUGCACGUCUUGACGGUACCAAAGCAGAAAGCCACGGCUACUUACGU
Molecule: ribosomal RNA, 496 nt
Filed under: uncultured bacterium
Lineage: Bacteria
Description: partial 16S ribosomal RNA
Rfam family: Bacterial small subunit ribosomal RNA
Source: RNAcentral